RNAcentral lists this microRNA (24 nucleotides) under Brachypodium distachyon (stiff brome). RNAcentral's name for it is "bdi-miR7730-5p". Lineage: Eukaryota; Viridiplantae; Streptophyta; Magnoliopsida; Poales; Poaceae. The record is from miRBase by way of RNAcentral.
AGAACAGCCACGGUUGAAAGUUAU